UACGUAGGGGGCUAGCGUUGUCCGGAUUUAUUGGGCGUAAAGAGCGUGUAGGCGGCCAGGUAGGUCCGCUGUGAAAGUCCGAGGCUCAACCUCGGAAUGUCGGCGGAAACCCUCUGGCUAGAGUCCGGAAGAGGAGAGUGGAAUUCCCGGUGUAGCGGUGAAAUGCGCAGAUAUCAGGAGGAACACCUGUGGCGAAAGCACUCUGCUGGGCCGACACUGACACUGAGAGACGAAAGCUAGGGGAGCGAAUGGG
Molecule: ribosomal RNA, 253 nt
Filed under: uncultured bacterium
Lineage: Bacteria
Description: partial 16S ribosomal RNA
Rfam family: Bacterial small subunit ribosomal RNA
Source: RNAcentral